CAAAAGAGGGCCCGCGGUUAAUUUCUGUUCCAGCACCCCGGGGAAAAGGUAAGGGUGCGAGGCGGUUAAUUCGGGAUUAUUGGGUCGUAAGCGUGGCCCAGGCGGAUUGUAAGGCAAGGACGGUGAAUUCCCCGGACUAAACCUGGGAAUGGCGGUUUGAGCUGGCAGUUUAGAGUCGUUCAGAGGGGGGUGGAGUUUCACGUGUAGCAGUGAAAUGCGUUAGAGAUGUGGAGGAACACCGAUGGCGAAGGGCAGCCCCCUGGGAUGACACUGACGUUCAUGUACGAAAAGCUUGGGUAGCAAAACAGGAUUAGAUACCUUGGUAGUCACGCCCUAAACGAUGUCAACUGGUUGUUGGGGGAGUGAAAUCCCUUAGUAACGAAGCUAACGCGUGAAGUUGACCGCUUGGGGAGUACGGUCGCAAGAAUAAAACUCAAAGGAAUUGACGGGGACCCGCACAAGCGGUGGAUGAUGUGGAUUAAUUCGAUGCAACGCGAAAAACCUUACCUACCCUUGACAUGUCCGGAAUCCUGCAGAGACGCGGGAGUGCCCGAAAGGGAAUCGGAACACAGGUGCUGCAUGGCUGUCGUCAGCUCGUGUCGUGAGAUGUUGGGUUAAGUCCCGCAACGAGCGCAACCCUUAUUGUUAGUUGCCAUCAUUAAGUUGGGCACUCUAGCGAGACUGCCCGGGUUAACCGGGAGGAAGGUGGGGAUGACGUCAAAUCAUCAUGCCCCUUCAGGAAACGGCUAUGCCCAUGAUUCAAUCAACGGAACAAUAAGACGCAAUCGAAUGAGCGGGAGCAAAAUCGGAAAACCGAUGUCAUUUCCCAUAGUAGGGUGAAACAGGCGUCCAUGAAGCUGGAGUUGCUAGUAAUUUUACAAUCAGCAUGUAGGAUCAAAUACGUUCCCGGGCGGGGUACACUCCGCCCAGGAUCAAACUUCCUGGGUCAGGUUGUCAAGGCUGAGCCAGGAUCAAGCUCCUGGGUCAGUUUGUACACACCGACCCAAGAUCAAGAUCAUCGGUCAGUUUGUACACGCUGAGCCUGGAUCAAGAUCAUGGGUCAGGUGUUCCACACGAGCCGUGGUCAAUCUUUACGGGUCGGGUGUUCCACACGACCGGUAGUCAAUGUUCACAAUCGAAUUCCCGCGGCC
This 1151-nucleotide ribosomal RNA is filed under the name uncultured Thiobacillus sp. Its description in RNAcentral is "bacterial SSU rRNA". The stretch from base 1 to 982 matches the Rfam family "Bacterial small subunit ribosomal RNA", at positions 479 to 1533 of the family's 1533-position model. The record is from RNAcentral. Lineage: Bacteria; Pseudomonadati; Pseudomonadota; Betaproteobacteria; Nitrosomonadales; Thiobacillaceae.